Long non-coding RNA from Papaver somniferum (opium poppy), 2679 nucleotides. RefSeq lists it as uncharacterized. The transcript has 6 exons. The record is from RefSeq and is a predicted model, not a curated record. NCBI's taxonomy places the organism in Eukaryota, Viridiplantae, Streptophyta, Magnoliopsida, Ranunculales, Papaveraceae.
UAUCUCUUCUUAUCCAUCUUCUUCAUCUCACUCCCUGCUUCAGAAAAACAAAAAAAAUCUCACCCCCUCAACAUCUCUCUCCCACUCUUCUUUUCUUUCUAACUCCAACAGAAUAGAGAAGAUCUUCUCCAUCUUCUUCAUCUCCUCCGAAGAGAAGAGAUCUCGUCUCCAUCUUCUCCUUCUUCUUCUUUCAUGCAAAAGCUAUUUUUCUCACAAAUAUAAGAGCAGUGGAUUCACCAACAGAAGAAGAAGUAUCAACUGAUUUUCCAUCAAUAAGGGUUAGCCAAUGCAAAGACUUAUGCAAUUCAAGAUGGAAAAGAUUCAGGUGUUGUUCUUGCUGCUACUAAGAGUAACAAACAUAUGAACCCUCUAAUUUUGGUGCACAAAACUGUCAUGAAAAGGAAUUCAGUAGAUUGGCUAAGGGUGUUGCCAACCAGGUAAUUUAACAAACCCUUUCUCUUAUUUCAGAUUUUGUAAUAGAUUUUUGAUGCAUACAUAGAUAACUUGAUUUUUUUAGCCACUUUGACAACACUGGUUGUGUGUUCCACAAGUGCGUGCAAUGCGAUGGUUGCUGGUACAUCAUAUUACAGAACCUCGGUUUAAGUCCAAAGUGUAAGAGUACAAUGCCUUUUUGGUUCCUUCAAUUUAGUUAAUGAAUCUCUUUUAAGCUAGUUAUUACUUUUUAAAAUUCGUUUACAUGGGAAAUUUCUUUGUUGGAAAGCAAUUACAAUCUCUGCACCAUUUGCUUCUCGGAAUUAGGGAAUGACGCUCAAUGAACCAGAAAAGAAAAACCCCAUCUUUUACCGAUACCCUAGCCGCAUCUUUUUUCUCAAGGUCCAGCUCCACCCAUCAUGUAUCUCUCAUAUCUUGAAUGCAUCUAAAUUUUUAGAUUCCUGGUGAUGGAUACCCUGUGGGAACAAUGCUAGACAUUGUAGUUGAUCUAACAGCACCAGUUGCCCAUGGACGCUAUAUUUCUUACUGGAGGAUGAUGUCACCUUCUGGUGAAAUGUUUGAGGAGUGGAUUUGGGUAAUAAUCGAGGUUACUAGUACUGACAGGAAAUGUUUCCACAUUACCUUAUCAAGGCACAUGUAGGCGUUGCGAUAAAUUUUCCUCAUACUACGAGAAGCUCAAGAUGGUAUUGAAGGUAGCUAGGAAGAAGAUGAGGAGGCUUAUGAGGUAUAGUUGUUUUAUAAAGUUUAUGUAUCCAACUGUGAGGUAUGAGUGUUAGAGAUGGACAUGGAAAGUUCACAAUAGGAGAUGGGGAAUUUCCAUUGGCGUAUAUGUAUUGUAGCCUAUAAUUUGAUUUAUCCCGUUGUUAUUUUCUGUGAAUUCUGAAAUAUAGUUCUUCUAAUUUUAGCAAUUGGUUAAGCCACUGGUAAAGACAUCACAAGGCUAUUCGACUUGAAACAUCAUACUGAUGUUUGAGCAGUUGAGCAUGAUGAUUUCGGUAGUCUGGUAAACUACCAACUUCUUAAGUUUUAUGAUUUUUGGUUAACUUGUCUUUGCUUAACAUUGUUUUUUUUGCUUGAGUUUCUGUUUUGCAUAUACUUGUAACAAGGUCUUGUGGUUAUAAGAACUGAUUUUCACUGGACAUUUGUAGUUUGCUGAGAAGUUCAGCUUACUUGAACAAUAUAUAAUAGAAAAAGAUAAGCAGAAAAAGGUAAAAGUAAGAACCGCUGCGCCCACGUUGUGAUUGCGUAUCUAUAUGAUUUGUUAUUGAAAGGAUUCAUUUGACAUGAACCAAUAACCUAUUGCGCAGUUUGAUUUGGUACAUUUUCUUGAACUGUAUGAUUAGUACGUAAUACCUUGAUAUACCAAUUCAAUUUUAAACUUCAAACACUUAUGGUGUUAAUAAUUUCUCGGAUCUGUACCUUGGUUUUGUUAACAACUUCAAACACUUUAUUUUUGUUAAUAACUUCAAACACUUUGGUGAUCAUAGCCCUUAGAUUACUGAUGUUACUUUAUCUGCGUGAAUUUUUGUCCGUCCAAUUUGAUUAAGCACAUUCUUUUGGUUUCACCCUUUUCUGGUGGUGUUGUGUUUGAUGUGGGUUUGAAUUUUUCAUUGUUCUGGAUCGUUGAAUAUGGGAGAUAUAUUCGAAUUGCUAAGAACUCUACCUUACUUCUAUUUUGAUGGGAGGGAUUUAUUGUUUCUAGUUGGCAUUUUGUUGUAAUGGAAAGGGUAUACAUUUUAGUUAUGCAAGUCUGAUCAGAAUUGUCCAUUUGUCAGUUGCUUUCAGUUUUUAGGGAUAAUUGCUAGUGGAGCUUCUAUUUCAUAGACUAUUGAUUCUAUUUCUAGUUAUAGUUUGACUUGUUUUUUUAUUAUGGUGACACAUUUGAUUUAUGUAGUUAUCCGUCUAACUUACCCGACCAAUGCCUUAUGUACAUCUGAUAAAGGUGAUGCAAAUGCUAUUUUUUUUUAUAUAUGAUGCAUUACAGGUUGAUAAACUAAUAAAGGAGGAGGCCCACGAAAUGGAUGUAAAAGAAGUACAAUGGAGCUCUCAGGUCUGUUUUAUUUUUCUGAAUCAAACACACUUCAUAAUGUUAAAUAGAUCUGUCCCUGGACUUAUAACUAUUACUUACACAAACUUAUGAUGCAGUCUAAAUUUCUGAAUUGUAUUUAAGUCCCAAAUAUUUAGGUUCAGAUACAUGUGGUUCUAGCAAGUUCCAAAUUGGUUCAU